This 443-nucleotide ribosomal RNA is filed under the name uncultured bacterium. Its description in RNAcentral is "partial 16S ribosomal RNA". It matches the Rfam family "Bacterial small subunit ribosomal RNA", at positions 338 to 795 of the family's 1533-position model. The record is from RNAcentral.
CCUACGGGAGGCAGCAGUGGGGAAUAUUGGACAAUGGGGGGAACCCUGAUCCAGCGACGCCGCGUGAGUGAAGAAGUAUCUCGGUAUGUAAAGCUCUAUCAGUAGGGAAGAAAGAAAUGACGGUACCUGACUAAGAAGCCCCGGCUAACUACGUGCCAGCAGCCGCGGUAAUACAGAGGGGGCAAGCGUCAUUCGGAUUUACUGGGUGUAAAGGGAGCGUAGACGGUUACGCAAGUCUGGAGUGAAAGGCGGGGGCCCAACCCCCGGACUGCAUUGGAAACUGUAUAACUGGAGUGCAGGAGAGGUAAGGGGAAUUCCUGGUGUAGCAGUGAAAUGCGUAGAUAUUAGGAGGAACACCAGUGGCGAAGGCGGCUUACUGGACUGUAACUGACGUUGAGGCACGAAAGCGUGGGGAGCGAACAGGAUUAGAUACCCCAGUAGUC